This 780-nucleotide ribosomal RNA is filed under the name Escherichia coli. RNAcentral's name for it is "partial 23S ribosomal RNA". It matches the Rfam family "Bacterial large subunit ribosomal RNA", at positions 452 to 1230 of the family's 2925-position model. Lineage: Bacteria; Pseudomonadati; Pseudomonadota; Gammaproteobacteria; Enterobacterales; Enterobacteriaceae. The record is from RNAcentral.
ACCAUCCUCCAAGGCUAAAUACUCCUGACUGACCGAUAGUGAACCAGUACCGUGAGGGAAAGGCGAAAAGAACCCCGGCGAGGGGAGUGAAAAAGAACCUGAAACCGUGUACGUACAAGCAGUGGGAGCACAGAGCAAUCUGUGUGACUGCGUACCUUUUGUAUAAUGGGUCAGCGACUUAUAUUCUGUAGCAAGGUUAACCGAAUAGGGGAGCCGAAGGGAAACCGAGUCUUAACUGGGCGUUAAGUUGCAGGGUAUAGACCCGAAACCCGGUGAUCUAGCCAUGGGCAGGUUGAAGGUUGGGUAACACUAACUGGAGGACCGAACCGACUAAUGUUGAAAAAUUAGCGGAUGACUUGUGGCUGGGGGUGAAAGGCCAAUCAAACCGGGAGAUAGCUGGUUCUCCCCGAAAGCUAUUUAGGUAGCGCCUCGUGAAUUCAUCUCCGGGGGUAGAGCACUGUUUCGGCAAGGGGGUCAUCCCGACUUACCAACCCGAUGCAAACUGCGAAUACCGGAGAAUGUUAUCACGGGAGACACACGGCGGGUGCUAACGUCCGUCGUGAAGAGGGAAACAACCCAGACCGCCAGCUAAGGUCCCAAAGUCAUGGUUAAGUGGGAAACGAUGUGGGAAGGCCCAGACAGCCAGGAUGUUGGCUUAGAAGCAGCCAUCAUUUAAAGAAAGCGUAAUAGCUCACUGGUCGAGUCGGCCUGCGCGGAAGAUGUAACGGGGCUAAACCAUGCACCGAAGCUGCGGCAGCGACGCUUAUGCGUUGUUGGGUA